This 388-nucleotide ribosomal RNA is filed under the name uncultured bacterium. RNAcentral's name for it is "partial 16S ribosomal RNA". It matches the Rfam family "Bacterial small subunit ribosomal RNA", at positions 523 to 918 of the family's 1533-position model. The record is from RNAcentral.
AUACGUAGGUGGCAAGCGUUAUCCGGAAUCAUUGGGCGUAAAGGGUGCGUAGGCGGCUUCUUAAGUUUGUAGUGAAAUCGUAGGGCUCAACUCUAUCUAGCUACAAAAACUGGGAGGCUGGAGUGCGGUAGAGGCUAGUGGAAUUCCUAGUGUAGCGGUAAAAUGCGUAGAUAUUAGGAGGAACACCGGUGGCGAAGGCGACUAGCUGGGCCGUAACUGACGCUGAGGCACGAAAGCGUGGGGAGCAAAUAGGAUUAGAUACCCUAGUAGACCACGCCGUAAACGAUGAAUACUAAGUGUUGGAGAAAUUCAGUGCUGCAGUUAACGCAAUAAGUAUUCCGCCUGGGGAGUAUGCACGCAAGUGUGAAACUCAAAGGAAUUGGCGGGG